RNAcentral lists this long non-coding RNA (1261 nucleotides) under Marmota monax (woodchuck). Lineage: Eukaryota; Metazoa; Chordata; Mammalia; Rodentia; Sciuridae. The record is from RNAcentral.
GGUGUAUCAGUUAGCUUCCACUGUGUAACAAAGCAAGAAAAAAAUCUUGAUGGCUUAAAACAGCCAUGUUUUUAACUUAUGAGUCUGCGGGUUAUAUAGAAGGUUCUAGAAGAUGGGACUAGUCUGAUCUCAGCGAACUGAUAAGCUGGCUGAUAACUGGCUGGUCUGAGAUGGCCUUUUCUUGGGCAACUCUCCUCCACAUGGUCUUUCUCCCCCAACGGUCAUGCCUGGGCUUGCUGCGUGGUAACUGCAGGACUCUGGGUCAGAGCAGAAGCAUCCAAAUCUUCCUAAGGCCCAAGCUCAGAACGAGCAGAGAUCCAUCCACCACAUUCUUCUGGCUGAAGAAAGCCACAAGGCCAGCCUGACGCAGGGGACUGAAAAACAGAUUCCACCUCCUCAUGGGAGACAUUGGAGGAAUGUGGCCACGUCUGCUGUCCCCCAAGGUGGGAAGCCAUGGGAGGUCUGAGAGCAGAGGAGUCCUGUGUUCCAAGUGAGGUUUCAUGGACGUCUCUGGACACAGUUGAGAUUUUACUGUGGGGAGAAAAGUGGAAGUGGGGAGACCAGCUAGGAUGACAGCACCGAUCACCACAACAACCGAAGCAGGAAAUGAUGGUGGCGCAGACCAGGGGGUGGUGAUGAAGGUGAAGAGAAGACGCCAUGAACAGUCCCAGGACUGUGCCCCUUGUCUCACUGUCACAUGUCGGGUCUCUAGGGGAGGCCUGAAAAGAGUUAUCAGUAAGAGUGCUCAGAUUUAAGGGGCUUGGGACCUGCACUGUCUUCUAUCUUCUCUCAACCUGGGUAUUUUGGAGCUCUUUAAGGACAAUAAUGAUCAUAUCUGUGUUUUAUUCAGUUUCAAUUGACAUUUGUUUAUCACCUCUUAGGUACCAGACAGAGCGCCCCCACUUUCAAAGAAAGAAGGGAAAAUAGUCAAAUAACCCAACAUCUGUGUCAUAAUGUACCGAUGACGUUCUCCAUUCUUUGAACGCUCUGUCAUUCAACAGUUAAUAUUGGUUGAGUGAAUGGCUACUUGAUUCUGUGGGGUCCUGUCAAUAUAGUGAUUCAAUGUUCAACAGAGACUAAUGCGGAGAGAAAUGCAAAAUGAUCACCCACUUAGAAAGACGGGUCUCACUCAAUAAUAUUACUAAUAAAUUAUUUUUAUAUAUUUAAGAUUAAAAAAUAAUAAACACUGUUGUGUACCCUAUUCAGCUUAAGAAAUAAAUUCUGAGCAGAGAUUAAGAUUCCUGUACACUGCUUCCUAAAC